AAUGAAGCAAAAACAAGAAAAAACUCCAGCUACCUAUACAAAUGAAAAGAGAAAAAUCAUAGCAGGACAAAUUGGAAGCGCCAAACGUGGUAGAAAGGUAGAGCUCCUAAGACAAGGACCAGCGAAAAACAACACAAACCUAUGACAGAACAACAAAAACACACCAAACGGAUGACAAAGACAUUCAAGAUGCUAUUUACUUAGAUGCAAAAUGGGAUUCUCG
This 223-nucleotide long non-coding RNA is filed under the name Lathyrus oleraceus (garden pea). Its description in RNAcentral is "Pisum sativum (pea) long non-coding RNA (PSAT_LNC027132)". Lineage: Eukaryota; Viridiplantae; Streptophyta; Magnoliopsida; Fabales; Fabaceae. The record is from RNAcentral.